RNAcentral lists this ribosomal RNA (718 nucleotides) under gamma proteobacterium PM57. RNAcentral's name for it is "bacterial SSU rRNA". It matches the Rfam family "Bacterial small subunit ribosomal RNA", at positions 67 to 774 of the family's 1533-position model. The record is from RNAcentral. Lineage: Bacteria; Pseudomonadati; Pseudomonadota; Gammaproteobacteria.
CGGUAACAGAGAAUAGCUUGCUAUUUUGCUGACGAGUGGCGGACGGGUGAGUAAUGCUUGGGAAUAUGCCUUAUGGUGGGGGACAACAGUUGGAAACGACUGCUAAUACCGCAUAACAUCUCCGGAUCAAAGUGGGGGACCUUCGGGCCUCACGCCAUAAGAGUAGCCCAAGUGGGAUUAGCUAGUUGGUAAGGUAAUGGCUUACCAAGGCGACGAUCCCUAGUUGGUCUUAGAGGAUGACCAGCCACACUGGAACUGAGACACGGUCCAGACUCCUACGGGAGGCAGCAGUGGGGAAUAUUGCACAAUGGGCGCAAGCCUGAUGCAGCCAUGCCGCGUGUGUGAAGAAGGCUUUCGGGUUGUAAAGUCAGCACUUCGAGGAGGAAAGGUUGUACUUUAAUAGAGUGCAGCUGUGACGUUACUCGCAGAAGAAGCACCGGCUAACUCCGUGCCAGCAGCCGCGGUAAUACGGAGGGUGCGAGCGUUAAUCGGAAUUACUGGGCGUAAAGCGCGCGUAGGUGGUUAAUUAAGUCAGAUGUGAAAUCCCAGGGCUCAACCUUGGAACUGCAUUUGAAACUGGUUGACUAGAGUUUUGUAGAGGGUGGUAGAAUUUCAGGUGUAGCGGUGAAAUGCGUAGAGAUCUGAAGGAAUACCAGUGGCGAAGGCGGCCACCUGGACAAAGACUGACACUGAGGCGCGAAGGCGUGGGGAGCAAACG